Molecule: ribosomal RNA, 120 nt
Organism: Bison bison bison
Lineage: Eukaryota; Metazoa; Chordata; Mammalia; Artiodactyla; Bovidae
Source: Ensembl
GUCUCAGGCCGUAUCAGCCUGAAGGCGCCCGAUCUCGUCUGAUCUCGGAAGCUGAGCAGGGUCGGGCCUGGUUAGUAUCUUGGAUGGGAGACCACCUGGGAAUCCCGGGUGCUCGAGGCU